GGAGUUGUGACUGGACAUCUGCC
Molecule: microRNA, 23 nt
Filed under: Gadus morhua (Atlantic cod)
Lineage: Eukaryota; Metazoa; Chordata; Actinopteri; Gadiformes; Gadidae
Description: Gmo-Mir-219-P3b_3p (mature (co-guide))
Source: RNAcentral